GGUGAACGCUGGCGGCGUGCCUAAUACAUGCAAGUCGAGCGAACAGACGAGGAGCUUGCUCCUCUGACGUUAGCGGCGGACGGGUGAGUAACACGUGGAUAACCUACCUAUAAGACUGGGAUAACUUCGGGAAACCGGAGCUAAUACCGGAUAAUAUAUUGAACCGCAUGGUUCAAUAGUGAAAGACGGUUUUGCUGUCACUUAUAGAUGGAUCCGCGCCGCAUUAGCAAGUUGGUAAGGUAACGGCUUACCAAGGCAACGAUGCGUAGCCGACCUGAGAGGGUGAUCGGCCACACUGGAACUGAGACACGGUCCAGACUCCUACGGGAGGCAGCAGUAGGGAAUCUUCCGCAAUGGGCGAAAGCCUGACGGAGCAACGCCGCGUGAGUGAUGAAGGUCUUCGGAUCGUAAAACUCUGUUAUUAGGGAAGAACAAAUGUGUAAGUAACUAUGCACGUCUUGACGGUACCUAAUCAGAAAGCCACGGCUAACUACGUG
This 497-nucleotide ribosomal RNA is filed under the name uncultured bacterium. RNAcentral describes it as "partial 16S ribosomal RNA". It matches the Rfam family "Bacterial small subunit ribosomal RNA", at positions 28 to 507 of the family's 1533-position model. The record is from RNAcentral.